Molecule: ribosomal RNA, 446 nt
Filed under: uncultured bacterium
Lineage: Bacteria
Description: bacterial SSU rRNA
Rfam family: Bacterial small subunit ribosomal RNA
Source: RNAcentral
AACGAACGCUGGCGGCAUGCCUAACACAUGCAAGUCGAACGAGACCUUCGGGUCUAGUGGCGCACGGGUGCGUAACGCGUGGGGAUCUGCCCUUUGCUUCGGAAUAACAGUUAGAAAUGACUGCUAAUACCGGAUGAUGUCGUAAGACCAAAGAUUUAUCGGCAAAGGAUGAACCCGCGUAGGAUUAGCUAGUUGGUGGGUAAAGGCCUACCAAGGCGACGAUCCUUAGCUGGUCUGAGAGGAUGAUCAGCCACACUGGGACUGAGACACGGCCCAGACUCCUACGGGAGGCAGCAGUGGGGAAUAUUGGACAAUGGGCGAAAGCCUGAUCCAGCAAUGCCGCGUGAGUGAUGAAGGCCUUCGGGUGUAAAGCUCUUUUACCAGGGAUGAUAAUGACAGUACCUGGAGAAUAAGCUCCGGCUAACUACCGUGCCAGCAGCCGCGGU